GAUUAACGCUGGCGGCGUGCAUGAAACAUGCAAGUCGAGCGCGGUUCGUGAUGGGGUAACCCGCCACGGAUCUAGCGGCGAACGGGUGAGUAACACGUGAGCAACCUACCUUUGAGACCGGGAUAGCCCUGAGAAAUCAGGAUUAAUACCGGAUGUGGUCACGACGGGGCAUCCCGACGUGCCUAAAGGCGCAAGCCGCUCAAUGAUGGGCUCGCGGCUUAUUAGCUUGUUGGUGGGGUAACGGCCUACCAAGGCGUCGACGGGUAGCUGGUCUGAG
RNAcentral lists this ribosomal RNA (277 nucleotides) under uncultured bacterium. RNAcentral's name for it is "partial 16S ribosomal RNA". It matches the Rfam family "Bacterial small subunit ribosomal RNA", at positions 28 to 296 of the family's 1533-position model. The record is from RNAcentral.